GACGAACGCUGGCGGCGUGCCUAAUACAUGCAAGUCGAACGCAGAAGGGACGGGGGAGUAACACGUGGGUAACCUCCCAUCAGAGGGGAUAACACUUGGAAACAGGUGCUAAACCGAUACUGCUGGAUGGUCCCGCGGUGCAUUAGCUAGUUGGUGAGGUAACGGCUCACCAGGGCCACGAUGGAUAGCCGACCUGAGAGGUGGAUCGGCCACACUGGGAAUUGGACAAGGCCCAGACUCCGACGAGAGGCAGCAGUAGGGAAUCUUCGGCAAGGGACGAAAGUCUGACCGAGCAACGCCGCGUGAGUGAAGAGGGUUUUCGUAUCGUAAAACUCUGUUGUUAGAGCAGCGGUAUCUAACCAGAGUGCCACGGCUAACUACGUGCCAGCAGCCGCGGUAAUUC
This 403-nucleotide ribosomal RNA is filed under the name uncultured bacterium. RNAcentral describes it as "partial 16S ribosomal RNA". It matches the Rfam family "Bacterial small subunit ribosomal RNA", at positions 28 to 526 of the family's 1533-position model. The record is from RNAcentral.